Molecule: ribosomal RNA, 696 nt
Filed under: uncultured bacterium
Lineage: Bacteria
Description: bacterial SSU rRNA
Rfam family: Bacterial small subunit ribosomal RNA
Source: RNAcentral
UAACACGUAGGUAACCUGCCCAUGUGCCCGGGAUAACUUCUGGAAACGGAUGCUAAAACCGGAUAGGUAGCAGACAAGCAUUUGACUGCUAUUAAAGUGGCCUUGGCCAUGAACAUGGAUGGACCUGCGGUGCAUUAGCUAGUUGGUGAGGUAACGGCCCACCAAGGCGACGAUGCAUAGCCGGCCUGAGAGGGCGGACGGCCACAUUGGGACUGAGACACGGCCCAAACUCCUACGGGAGGCAGCAGUAGGGAAUUUUCGUCAAUGGGGGGAACCCUGAACGAGCAAUGCCGCGUGAGUGAGGAAGGUCUUCGGAUCGUAAAGCUCUGUUGUAAGAGAAAAACGGCACUCAUAGGGAAUGAUGAGUGAGUGAUGGUAUCUUACCAGAAAGUCACGGCUAACUACGUGCCAGCAGCCGCGGUAAUACGUAGGUGGCGAGCGUUAUCCGGAAUGAUUGGGCGUAAAGGGUGCGUAGGUGGCAGAUCAAGUCUGGAGUAAAAGGUAUGGGCUCAACCCGUACUGGCUCUGGAAACUGAUCAGCUAGAGAACAGAAGAGGACGGCGGAACUCCAUGUGUAGCGGUAAAAUGCGUAGAUAUAUGGAAGAACACCGGUGGCGAAGGCGGCCGUCUGGUCUGGAUUCUGACACUGAAGCACGAAAGCGUGGGGGAGCAAAUAGGAUUAGAUACCCUAGUAGU